Molecule: non-coding RNA, 165 nt
Organism: Pseudonaja textilis
Lineage: Eukaryota; Metazoa; Chordata; Lepidosauria; Squamata; Elapidae
Source: RefSeq, a predicted model, not a curated record
ACUAAGGAGAAAUUUCCUGACAGUAAGAACAAUCAACCACCAAAAGUUGUGGGUGCUCCAUCACUGGAGGUUUUUAAGAAGAGAUUGGAUGGCCAUUUAUCUGCAAUGCUAUAGGGUCUCUUGCAUGAGGAGGGGGUUGAACUAAAAGACCAACAAGUUCUCUUC